CCUACGGGGGGCUGCAGUAAGGAAUAUUGGUCAAUGGAGGAAACUCUGAACCAGCCAUCCCGCGUGAAGGAUGAAGGGGCUCUGCCUUGUAAACUUCUUUUGUCUGGGGCGAAAAAGCUCGAUUUAUCGAGAACUGACGGUACCAGAAGAAUAAGCACCGGCUAACUCCGUGCCAGCAGCCGCGGUCAUACGGAGGGUGCCAGCGUUAUCCGGUUUCACUGGGGUGUAGGGGUCUUAGUAAGGCAGUGUUGAAAGGCCGUGGCUUAACCAUGGAAUUGCCAUUGAUACUGCAGAGCUUGAAUGAGGUUGAGGUUGGCGGAAUGUGACAUGUAGCGGUGAAAUGCUUAGAGAUGUCAUGGAACACCGAUUGCGAAGGCAGCUGACUGGACCUAUAUUGACGCUGAGGCACGAAAGCGUGGGGAGCGAACAGGAUUAGAUACCCCUGUAGUC
Molecule: ribosomal RNA, 450 nt
Filed under: uncultured bacterium
Lineage: Bacteria
Description: partial 16S ribosomal RNA
Rfam family: Bacterial small subunit ribosomal RNA
Source: RNAcentral